Molecule: ribosomal RNA, 780 nt
Filed under: uncultured bacterium
Lineage: Bacteria
Description: bacterial SSU rRNA
Rfam family: Bacterial small subunit ribosomal RNA
Source: RNAcentral
AGAGUUUGAUCCUGGCUCAGAACGAGCGCUGGCGGCAGGCCUAAUACAUGCAAGUCGAGCGCAUCCCUCGGGAUGAGCGGCGGACGGGUGAGUAACGCGUGGGAAUAUGCCCUUCUCUAAGGAAUAGCCUCUGGAAACGGAGAGUAAUACCCUAUACGCCCUUCGGGGGAAAGAUUUAUCGGAGAAGGAUUAGCCCGCGUUAGAUUAGGUAGUUGGUGGGGUAAUGGCCUACCAAGCCUACGAUCUAUAGCUGGUUUGAGAGGAUGAUCAGCCACACUGGGACUGAGACACGGCCCAGACUCCUACGGGAGGCAGCAGUAGGGAAUCUUAGACAAUGGGGGAAACCCUGAUCUAGCCAUGCCGCGUGUGUGAUGAAGGCCUUAGGGUCGUAAAGCACUUUCGCCAGAGAUGAUAAUGACAGUAUCUGGUAAAGAAACCCCGGCUAACUCCGUGCCAGCAGCCGCGGUAAUACGGAGGGGGUUAGCGUUGUUCGGAAUUACUGGGCGUAAAGCGCACGUAGGCGGAUUAGUAAGUUAGAGGUGAAAUCCCAGGGCUCAACCCUGGAACUGCCUUUAAUACUGCUAGUCUUGAGUUCGAGAGAGGUAAGUGGAAUUCCGAGUGUAGAGGUGAAAUUCGUAGAUAUUCGGAGGAACACCAGUGGCGAAGGCGGCUUACUGGCUCGAUACUGACGCUGAGGUGCGAAAGUGUGGGGAGCAAACAGGAUUAGAUACCCUGGUAGUCCACACCGUAAACGAUGAAUGCCAGACGUCAGCAAGUAUA